UGUAUGUCCAUACAACAUCUUGGCUUUCACCAUUCGUCGUUACUGGUGCCGCAAAGCUUAUCGCACUCUUUGCUACC
Molecule: transfer RNA, 77 nt
Filed under: Chlorobium chlorochromatii CaD3
Lineage: Bacteria; Pseudomonadati; Chlorobiota; Chlorobiia; Chlorobiales; Chlorobiaceae
Description: tRNA-Arg
Source: RNAcentral